This is a long non-coding RNA of Gopherus evgoodei (Goodes thornscrub tortoise), 1669 nucleotides long. RefSeq lists it as uncharacterized. The transcript has 3 exons. The record is from RefSeq and is a predicted model, not a curated record. Lineage: Eukaryota; Metazoa; Chordata; Testudines; Testudinidae.
AGAAACUCCUGGGAGUCCAGGUUCACCCUUGUCUCCUUUUGGUCCAGGUGCUCCUGUGUAUCCUGGAGACCCUAUUUCACUUUGACCUCCAGAGGAAAACAAUUACAGGGCAUGAAGUCUACAGUGAAUGCAAAUACAGAUGUACAGAAUAGAAAUACCAGCUGCAGAUGAUGAUGUUCUUUUUGUGAUUAGUCUAUCUCUAAUGGUCUGGUUCUCAUAUGUAAGCUGGGUGGAGUUUUGUUGAAUCUGGCCCUCGUUCAUCCUUUUGAAGGUAUUAAGCUCCUUGAUUCAAGGCAUAGUCUUUGUCCUUAAUUUGAAAUUCUUUGCUUUCAAUUUCUUAAUUUUCAUUUUAUGUCUUAUGAUCUCUUAGACUGGCUCUUAGCAUUGAUUUUAACAAUGGUCAGUCGGGUGUUUUGAAAGCUUCAAAUAGAUCACCAUGGGUGAAAUCCUGGCUCCACUGAAGUCAGUGGCAAAACUCCCACUGACUUCACUGAGGCCAAGAUUUUCCCCCAUGAGUCUCCUUUUAAUCUAUUUGCUAUUGUUUAUCUUGUACAUAUAAAAGUUUGAGACUUGGCUUCACUUUGAAUCAUCUGCACUGAACAUAUUCUCAAACGAUUCCAGCAAGACUAUUAGACAAUGGAGGAUUUUAAAUCUUUCCCCACAAAUGAUUGCUGGUGUCUCUUUCUAAACCAUUAACUAUCAGCACUGUUUUAAAGGUCAGUCUUAUCCUUAAUGACAGGAUAAAUAUCAACAUAGCAUGGAUCAUUUCAUAUUCAUUUUCAUUUAAAAGAAAUUCUGUACAUUUUCAUUCUUUACCUGGAACUCCUGGUGAGCCCUUUUGACCUUCCAGUCCAUUCAAACCAUCUAAUCCAGGCAACCCUGAUAAACCUUACAAGUAUUGUAAACAUUAUUAGAAGCAUGACCCAAAAGACUUGAAAAUGUUCAUUUAACAAAAGUAAAUAUAUAAAACUUGACAAUACAUUUCUGGUUCAGUACAGUGUUUGCUGGAAGUGUUUUGACAACUGAAGAAUGAACUACAUCAUUAACAGUUGAAGACUGUUUUGAAAAAGGAGCAUCAUUUCUAGAUUGCUGGAUAGUGAAGGAAAUAUGAAAGUAGCAGAGGAAAUUUCUAACACAUUUGUCAACACUUCAUUAUAACAUUAACACUGGGCCUAAAAUGAUUUCCAUAAAAUGAAUGAGUGAAGUUAGCUGCAUAAAACUAAUAAAAUGCCUGCUCCUAAAGAAAAGCAGGACACUUCUGCAACUAACAAGUUUUCACUAUCAGGUGUGUAAAUACCUUUUCAAAUGGAGGGCAAUUUGGAAAUCCUUGUCAUUGCAGCAUGACUCCCAGUGCUGUAGCUAAUAGGUAUACUGUUGUGUGCAACACAAUAAACUGUUUUCCUACAGAUUACACAGCAACAAGGAAUUUGUUAUUGUAUUAUAUGAGCACCGCCAACCUUCCCACAGAUAAUCAGAAAAAGCUUGCAUGUAAACCUCGGUUUUCAGUUUUGAACUGUCCAGGUUUGCCGUAGACUGAAACUGAAAAACUGAAUGUUUUCUUUAUAAAAAUUGAUCCCUUUUGGGGAAAUUUAUUAUGGACUCAAGGGUGGCUUUGACUUGAGCCCCAAAUCUGGGGCAGCAUGUGGUACCUCAGUACCACCCAGUAAAA